GUUUUUCAUCUGCAAUUUUCUGGACGUGACCUUGGAUGGAGGCUCUCGAUGAUGACCUUUCAAACUCAGUCGUCUUCACAUGAUGUCUUUGCCUCUGCCAUAGAGAGACCAUCGUGAAGAGAGACCCCCCCAGUUACAUCCAGGGGAUCCAGUUCUCUUCCACGUUGUGGGUGUUUUUCCAGAGAGCUCCUCUGGGAUCUGCUGGGGAAACGAGGAGGGCAGGGACAGCAAAAAUGGAUCUUCUGUCUGAUGGGUGUGACUGGAGAGCCCGUCCCAUGGUGGAUGUUCCUGCUGGGAGAAGGGGAAGCAUCCAGCCUUCUGGAGGACAGACUGAUGACUCAAGAAGAGCCUGUUGAUGGGAAAAACAGGCAGGAGUGGAGAGGAAUCAAGAAGAUGAAGGCAGGUUUUGUUUUCUAA
Molecule: long non-coding RNA, 417 nt
Filed under: Calidris pugnax (ruff)
Lineage: Eukaryota; Metazoa; Chordata; Aves; Charadriiformes; Scolopacidae
Description: lncRNA (ENSCPUG00000016450.1)
Source: RNAcentral